ACUCCUACGGGAGGCAGCAGUGGGGAAUCUUGGACAAUGGGGGCAACCCUGAUCCAGCCAUGCCGCGUGAGUGAUGAAGGCCUUAGGGUCGUAAAGCUCUUUCGCCAGGGAUGAUAAUGACAGUACCUGGUAAAGAAACCCCGGCUAACUCCGUGCCAGCAGCCGCGGUAAUACGGAGGGGGUUAGCGUUGUUCGGAAUUACUGGGGCGUAAAGCGCGCGUAGGCGGACCAGAAAGUUGGGGUGAAAUCCCGGGGCUCAACCCCGGAACUGCCUCCAAAACUCCUGGUCUAGAGUUCGAGAGAGGUGAGUGGAAUUCCGAGUGUAGAGGUGAAAUUCGUAGAUAUUCGGAGGAACACCAGUGGCGAAGGCGGCUCACUGGCUCGAUACUGACGCUGAGGUGCGAAAGUGUGGGGAGCAAACAGGAUUAGAUACCCUGGUAGGAUAGCG
RNAcentral lists this ribosomal RNA (448 nucleotides) under uncultured bacterium. RNAcentral's name for it is "bacterial SSU rRNA". It matches the Rfam family "Bacterial small subunit ribosomal RNA", at positions 335 to 799 of the family's 1533-position model. The record is from RNAcentral.